AUUGGGAGUUAGGUUUCAGCAUAGGAGUUUUUAGGGCAUGGAGAGGCACAAACAUCCAGACAAGCAUUUACCUUCUGCUGAAAUUGUCUCAGUGUUUGCCUCUCCUAAUGGAAUAUGGGCCACAUGUACAGCAAGGGCUCAGCAAAUGCUUGCUGAACAAACAAGUUUGAGGCAGGUUUCUAACUCAGGUAGAUCGUUUCAUCCUCUUCAUCUCCCAGCAACCAAGAAAACCAGCCUAUUGCCAUGGGGGGGUCCUCCAACCCUGGCUAUUCUCCAAUGCUAAAGACUGACAGAUAAUCUCAAUUAGCAAAUUGACCCUUGUGGAUUUUCUGCACUCAUAGCAAAUGUCUUCAGGAAAACUGAAUUUCUCUCCAUACCUGGAUUAAUUUUCAGUAAUGGAAUGACUGGGUCAAAGGAGAUCAACAUUGCUGUGGCUCUUUCAGGUUCUCUUAAAUUCCAUGGAUUUUAACUUUGGCCCAUGACCUCCUUGACCUCUGGAAAUGUGACAUCCUGCACCUGCUGCAUCAGGGCUCUUCCCUGGUCUUGCCUACACUUGUGUCUACACAGAUGCCUCUUCCUGUCCAUAUCACUUGCUUCUGCAUAAAGUGGGUGCAGAAGAUAAUGAGACGGAUUUGACCGCGGUGAACAGGCAGGCACACAAGAUGGAGCAGGCCCUGGUGAUAAACCCCAAUUCAAGUGAGAGGAAGUAUGAGGAACCAGAUUGGAAGAUGGAGUCCAGUGCCCAGAGAUCAUGGUCCAGGCAGCUUGAUAAACCAGAGGGAUAGUCUGAGAGAGAAACUGAAGGUCAAAAUCAACGCAGUGGUGCCGAACAGAAGGGCCCGAGGUGCGAUGAGUAUAAUAUGAACACGAAGGAAAACAGCGAGUUCAGAAGCCUGGAGAAUCAGAAGCAGGUCAAGCGCUGGGGUUCAGGGCAAAGACCCUGAACACUGUGAAGGUGUUGGAGACCUGUUUUGAGGUGGCACUGCGGCUCAAUGUGAGUGCAGACCUGAGAGAUUAAAGUGCCUACGAAGGGCCAAAUACCUGUCCCUUCAUGACAUGA
This is a long non-coding RNA of Homo sapiens (human), 1060 nucleotides long. Ensembl annotates it as long intergenic non-protein coding RNA 2548. The record is from Ensembl. NCBI's taxonomy places the organism in Eukaryota, Metazoa, Chordata, Mammalia, Primates, Hominidae.